GUAAUAUGGCGAAGACCUACGAUUACCUGUUCAAGCUGCUGCUGAUCGGGGACUCGGGGGUGGGGAAGACCUGUGUCCUGUUCCGCUUCUCCGAGGACGCCUUCAACUCCACUUUUAUCUCCACCAUAGGAAUUGACUUUAAAAUUAGGACCAUAGAGCUUGAUGGCAAGAGAAUUAAACUGCAGAUAUGGGACACGGCCGGUCAGGAACGGUUUCGGACGAUCACAACGGCCUACUACAGGGGCGCAAUGGGCAUCAUGCUGGUCUACGACAUCACCAACGAGAAGUCCUUCGACAACAUCCGGAACUGGAUUCGCAACAUUGAGGAGCACGCCUCUGCAGACGUCGAAAAGAUGAUACUCGGGAACAAGUGUGAUGUGAAUGACAAGAGACAAGUUUCCAAGGAACGAGGAGAAAAGGUGGGCAUGGUGGCACAAGGGGCAGAGGGCCUCAGGGUCUUGGGGUUCUUGUGCGGAGGCCUUCCCCUGUCCCUCCUCUGCCCCAGGGACCUGGGACGAGCUGGUCACCCCAGUGGGGCACGUGCCUGUGAUGG
RNAcentral lists this small RNA (553 nucleotides) under Pongo abelii (Sumatran orangutan). RNAcentral describes it as "retained intron". Lineage: Eukaryota; Metazoa; Chordata; Mammalia; Primates; Hominidae. The record is from RNAcentral.